UUGCUUGCCUAUGUUAAUGGCUAAGGAGACUGCAGAACUAGGAUGCUGAACCAACAAUAUCAGACGGACGGACGUGCCCCGGCUGCUGCGGGCUCGACGGCGCAUCCGAAACUCCGCUCAAGAGCAGAACCGGGUCACGGGGACCGAGGCGUAACGCCGGGACUAACGCGAGGCGACACGGCCCCCAGGGCGCCGGCGGGACGCGGCGCGGCCGGAGCAGGCAAGUGGUGCUCAGAAAGGACACCGGAAUUGUUAUAUCCAGCUCUCUCUUCUAAGCUCUGUGCAACCAGACCCGCUAGUUGA
RNAcentral lists this long non-coding RNA (303 nucleotides) under Dromaius novaehollandiae (emu). Its description in RNAcentral is "lncRNA (ENSDNVG00000016976.1)". Lineage: Eukaryota; Metazoa; Chordata; Aves; Casuariiformes; Dromaiidae. The record is from RNAcentral.